Long non-coding RNA from Acipenser ruthenus (sterlet), 424 nucleotides. RefSeq lists it as uncharacterized. NCBI's taxonomy places the organism in Eukaryota, Metazoa, Chordata, Actinopteri, Acipenseriformes, Acipenseridae. The record is from RefSeq and is a predicted model, not a curated record. The transcript is spliced from 2 exons.
ACUUUGUUACUACUGUUUCCAAGGAGACAGACGAUUCCACACGUGACACGGAAGUGACCAAAUUGGACAGAGCGCGCCUGCGCUAACGAUUGAGCCGCGGGUUUCUAAUCGAGGAGAAAGCUGGAGAAAUACAGCAAAGAAACACACAAGGGAAGCCAAUUGUACAGAAGUUUCUAUCAAACUUGGGGAUUGUCUGCCGGCUGCAUAUGGCGUCCAUAUCUGCAGAUGCGGUGGAGGGAUAUACAGCGAUAACUUCUUUGAUAGGCUCAGGCAAGACUGGAGAAAGUAGCAGCAGUGAAAUGUGGCAGUGAGCUUUUAAACCAAUAAUCCUUUGGAAUGCAGUGAAUACAUUUGUAUCAGGAAUAACCAUUCUGACUUCAGUGUAAAUGCAUAUUUUGUUAAUAAAUUAAGCAAUUUCAAUGUU